GAGCAAGCAGUACCCACUGUGGGGCGGGACGUUGAGAGCUCCAGGAGGAAGGUGAGAAAACCAAGGCUGAGAAGGGUCCUUGCAGAUGAGGUCCUAGUGGAAUAGAGGAGAUCCCUAAUCUAAUAUGACUGGUGUCCUUAUAAGAAACUCCACACGAAGAGACAGACAUGCUCCGGGGAGAAUGCCAUGUCAAGAUCGGAGCUACGCUGCCAAAGCCAAGAAGCUACCAGAAACUAGGAGAAAGGCCUGGAACAGAUACUUCCCUCAUCUUCAAGGGAAAUAAGGCCCAGACAACACGUUGAUUUUGAACUUCUAGCCACCGGAACUGUGAGACAUUCAAUUCCACUUGUUUAAGCCACCCAGUGACAAGAGCAC
Molecule: long non-coding RNA, 375 nt
Filed under: Equus caballus (horse)
Lineage: Eukaryota; Metazoa; Chordata; Mammalia; Perissodactyla; Equidae
Description: lncRNA (ENSECAG00000048562.1)
Source: RNAcentral